CAGUCGCCACGGGAAUACGGAGGGUGCAAGCGUUAAUCGGAAUUACUGGGCGUAAAGCGUGCGUAGGCGGUUCGUUAAGUCUGUUGUGAAAGCCCCGGGCUCAACCUGGGAAUGGCAAUGGAUACUGGCGAGCUAGAGUGUGUCAGAGGAUGGUGGAAUUCCCGGUGUAGCGGUGAAAUGCGUAGAGAUCGGGAGGAACAUCAGUGACGAAGGCGGCCAUCUGGGACAACACUGACGCUGAGGCACGAAAGCGUGGGGAGCAAACAGGAUUAGAUACCCGCGUAGUCCCUGUCUCUUAUAC
This 301-nucleotide ribosomal RNA is filed under the name uncultured bacterium. Its description in RNAcentral is "partial 16S ribosomal RNA". It matches the Rfam family "Bacterial small subunit ribosomal RNA", at positions 509 to 807 of the family's 1533-position model. The record is from RNAcentral.